GAGUUUGAUCCUGGCUCAAGAUGAACGCUAGCUACAGGCUUAACACAUGCAAGUCGAGGGGCAGCAUGUUGGUUGCUUGCAACCAACGAUGGCGACCGGCGCACGGGUGAGUAACGCGUAUCCAACCUACCCUUGUCCAUCGGAUAACCCGUCGAAAGGCGGCCUAACACGAUAUGCGGUUCACAGCAGGCAUCUAACGUGAACGAAAUGUGAAGGAGAAGGAUGGGGAUGCGUCUGAUUAGCUUGUUGGCGGGGUAACGCCACCAAGGCUACGAUCAGUAGGGUUCUGAGAGGAAGGUCCCCCANAUUGGAACUGAGGACACGGUCCAAACUCCUACGGGAGGCA
Molecule: ribosomal RNA, 346 nt
Filed under: uncultured bacterium
Lineage: Bacteria
Description: bacterial SSU rRNA
Rfam family: Bacterial small subunit ribosomal RNA
Source: RNAcentral